AUUCGUGCAAUGGGUGACGUGGAACCAGGUCAGAAUCGGAAGAUAGCAGCCUUAACAUUAAUCAUUCAUGUGCACUUUUUU
RNAcentral lists this signal recognition particle RNA (81 nucleotides) under Bacillota bacterium. Its description in RNAcentral is "signal recognition particle sRNA small type". It matches the Rfam family "Bacterial small signal recognition particle RNA". Rfam says of the family: The signal recognition particle (SRP) is a universally conserved ribonucleoprotein involved in the co-translational targeting of proteins to membranes. Archaeal SRP consists of a 7S RNA and homologues of the eukaryotic SRP19 and SRP54 proteins. In most bacteria, the SRP consists of a 4.5S RNA and the Ffh protein (a homologue of the eukaryotic SRP54 protein). The record is from RNAcentral. Lineage: Bacteria; Bacillati; Bacillota.